Long non-coding RNA from Beta vulgaris subsp. vulgaris (sugar beet), 511 nucleotides. RefSeq lists it as uncharacterized. The record is from RefSeq and is a predicted model, not a curated record. NCBI's taxonomy places the organism in Eukaryota, Viridiplantae, Streptophyta, Magnoliopsida, Caryophyllales, Amaranthaceae. The transcript is spliced from 2 exons.
AUACAUGAAAUAACAUGGAACUCGCAAAAUAGCCCAAAACACCUUCCGCAACUGGACAGCCCACGUUGAUUCUCGACCCAACAAAAACUAAACCCAUACACUUCAAGCUAGGGUUUCACUAUAUAUUAUCACAAUACCUCCUUUCACAUCUUUCCUCUUAAAACUUCUCCUCUUUUCCUUUCUUUUCGUCGUUCUCCAUCGAUUAGGGUUUUGCGGUUGCAGUUUUUUUUUCUUCCGAUCAUCAUGAGAGCCAAGUGGAAGAAGAAGCGUAUGAGGAGGUUGAAGAGGAAGCGCCGAAAGAUGAGACAGAGAUCCAAGUAGAAGCACACCUGAACUGUUAUGGUGGCUUUUAGUUUUCCGUCGUUUUAUUUUUCAUCUUAUUUCGUCGAUCUAUUAGCUAUUUUUGUAGCUAUUUUGACUGAUUUAGGUACUCAGUUUAAUAUCAUAUUAUGUAUUGGUACUUUUUGUUGAACAUGAUAUCUUCAGUAAUUUAACUGGAAUAUUUACAUAA